GUGUGUUGGUUUAGUGUAAAGUGGUUAAUGCAUGCCCGAGGCCAAAGGUCUAAAAGGUUCAUGUUUACUGUUACGCGAUCUUUAAAGUUAUUUAUUUUUCAAUAAAAUUAUUUAUGUCACCUAUGUGUAUGCUGCAGGCAUCAUACUGUGUCUGGAAUGAGGUUUGUAUUGUAGUGAUCUUCUGAUGCAAGGUGGUAACGCUCCAUGUUUCUGUGUAUGAACUUGUUCUGCAAAAUUUACAAGUUAAUAAUAAUAAUAAUAACAAUAAUAAUAAUAAUAAUAAUAAUAAUAAUAAUAAUAAUAAUAAUAAUAAUAAUAAUAAUAAUAAUAAUAAUAAUAAUAACUUACACUUCACUCUUGCCAACAAUUUCUGCAUACUCAGAUGCGCAGGCAACGACGACUCUUGUCAUCCAAUACACAGCAAUUGGGAUUUGAUUCGAUGCGAUAACCAUCGGUUCUGCAUCAUUUGAUAUGUAUUUUGAUGGAAAGCAACCAAAUUUAGCAAUGAACCUCGUCACCUCAAUCGACACUUUCACUAGGUUUAUAAUAGUCUCGAAUUUGGAUUUCAUCGAUGCAAAAAUCUCAUCACUCUCGUCGGGUAUUUGCUUGAGCAUCGCGACUAAUUUCGCGAGCGGAUCGCUCUUGUAGAGCCUCGCCACGAGGUUGUAUUGGCCGUAUUCGACUACAAAAGAGGCUAAAAUUAUCACGAUUUUAGCCUCCCAUUUGUAGUGUUCAAGCAGUUGCAGAAUUUCCAGUGCUGAGGCAUGGCCAUCCCCGCCCGAGCACUUGCAAUUCAACUAAAUCCAAAAAAGAAAAAAAGAAAAGAAAAUAAUAACGACAACAACAACAACAAUUAUUAAUAAAAAAUGAAAAAAAUGUAUAAUUAAGUAAUAUAAAAAGAUUCGAAUUCCAACCACACAGGUGAUCUGAUGUAACAGAUAGGGUAAGGUGUCCAGAAGGCCGUCGGGCCCCGGUGGGGCUAUGAUUCUCCGGAGCUUGCCGGCCUCGUCUGUCAGACCCUGAUCCUGUAUAAUGGCGACACUUGUAAAAUCUAAACUACCUUAAAAAAAAUGAAUUGAUAAAAUUAAAGAUUAAAAAGGAUAAAUUAACAAACUUACAUCACGAGGGGCGUCGUCUCCCGGCAUGACAUGAUUGAGGAUACCUUCGAUUGAGGCAAGAAGUGAUUCGUCAUCGAACUCGAUGACGUCAUUAGCAUGAAGUUCUAGAACUUUUCUUUCUUAGAGCCGUCUCAUCCGAAGAGGAAACUAGNAGUAUCGCCACUCCUCUCUCACGUACUUCACGAACCCUUGUUUGAUCAACCUCGGAUGCUCCAAAGAGUGCCACGGCAUGCUGCACUUCAACUCCACAACUCUAUCAUUAAAUUCUUUGGUUUCUUCGAUCUUUUCGACAAUCGGGAGCCACACGAUCUCGUAGUGGCACUCUGAUUUCUUUCUCUCUUUGUAGAAAUAUUUGAUUUGGUUGAUUUCUUCGACGGAGAUUUCAAGAUCUGAGAUUAGUAGCAGCACGGUUUUCCCUCUGAGAUCUUCCACACUUAUCUGUUUGGAUACAUUUUGGUAGAGCCUUCAGUCAAUUUAUGUGUUAAUUAAAGACAAAAAUACCUUUUAUUAUCAUAAAAGUAUAUUUUAUUGGUUUUUUUUAUUUGAUUAAUAUACGGGAGAUCAAGAAAAGGAUGGUUCAAAAAAAAAUGUAGUAACACAAUUAACAACUACUAAUAAUAUUUUCAUUAUUUUCACUAUAGAAAUCAGUAUGUCCCACAAUUUUUUGUGUCUCAUCGUAAUUUGAGUAUAUUUAUUAAAAAAAUAAAAUUUUGAAGCUAAAUAAAAUUAAAUACCCUAAUUAUGGAAUUAUCGAACCCUAAUAAUCAAAGAUUAACUAUAAAUUGCAAAUUAAAUUUUUAAAAAUAAUUAUAAAUUCUAAUUGAGUUAGUAAACUCAAAUUAAUAGUUAUAAAAUUAAAAAUUAAACUGAAGUAAUUGAAAUCGUCGACGAAAAAAAAUACUAUAAAAAUUUGAUGGUGGGUUCAUGGAUUUAUGGAACACCAAAAUAUGGGACAGAGGAUCCCAAGUGAAAAAAUUAUAUUAACAUAAUGCAUAAAUAAAUUUGUUAAAACUAAAAUUUAAAAAAAUAAAUAAAAAUUGUUAAAACUAAUAUUUGUAACAAAAUUUGAUUUAAUGAAUUGAUACCUUUGUUUCCACUUGAGGGCCACAUGAAAGAGGAUGCAAGCCAUCUUUCUUUUUCAUAAUAGUCUGUAAUAUUUUCUGGUUGUCAAUGUAGACUGUUGUCUGACCAAACAUUGUCUUUAGUUUCUCAACGUAUCUGAUUUGUUUCUUCUCCGCUGCAAAGUAUUUCCACAUAAUUAAUCCUUAUAUACAUAUAUGUGCUUAAUUAGUUAACAUUUUUCAUGUAUAAUUAAUAGGUCAAAUAUCAUAUUGUAACUCUCAUUUAAGAAAAUACUGUGACCUUUACAAUAUAAAAUAUUAGCAUCUGAUCUAUUGACUAAUUAAAAAUUAAUUGCAUGCUAAGAAAAUAUUAUGAACCCUCGUUGGAUAUAAUGAAUAUAUCUUAACUAAGAACUGUAAAAUUUGAGUAAAAAUUACAAGAAAUUGAAGUUGAAGAUGAGAAAAAUUCUAAGAAAUUUAAUUGUGUGAGACACUAAAAAUCGUGUGUUAGUUUAGUGAAAAGUGGUUAAUGCAUGCCCGAGGCCAAAGGUCUAAAAGGUUCAUGUUUACUGUUACGCGAUCUUUAAAGUUAUUUAUUUUUCAAUAAAAUUAUUUAUGUCACCUAUGUGUAUGCUGCAGGCAUCAUACUGUGUCUGGAAUGAGGUUUGUAUUGUAGUGAUCUUCUGAUGCAAGGUGGUAACGCUCCAUGUUUCUGUGUAUGAACUUGUUCUGCAAAAUUUACAAGUUAAUAAUAAUAAUAAUAACAAUAAUAAUAAUAAUAAUAAUAACUUACACUUCACUCUUGCCAACAAUUUCUGCAUACUCAGAUGCGCAGGCAACGACGACUCUUUCAUCCAAUACACAGCAAUUGGGAUUUGAUUCA
This 3062-nucleotide long non-coding RNA is filed under the name Salvia miltiorrhiza (redroot sage). RNAcentral describes it as "long non-coding RNA (SMIL_LNC007814)". Lineage: Eukaryota; Viridiplantae; Streptophyta; Magnoliopsida; Lamiales; Lamiaceae. The record is from RNAcentral.